GAAAUACUCCCUCCAUCCCAAAAUUCUUGUCUUACAUUUGUCAAAAUACGGAUGUAUCAAGUCACGUUUUGGAAUUAGAUACAUCCGUAUCUAGACUAAUCUGAGACAAGAAUUUUGGGACGGAGGGAGUAUAAG
Triticum aestivum (bread wheat) is the source of this 135-nucleotide non-coding RNA. NCBI's taxonomy places the organism in Eukaryota, Viridiplantae, Streptophyta, Magnoliopsida, Poales, Poaceae. The record is from Rfam.